RNAcentral lists this ribosomal RNA (372 nucleotides) under uncultured bacterium. RNAcentral's name for it is "bacterial SSU rRNA". It matches the Rfam family "Bacterial small subunit ribosomal RNA", at positions 525 to 896 of the family's 1533-position model. The record is from RNAcentral.
ACGGAGGGGGCUAGCGUUAUUCGGAAUUACUGGGCGUAAAGCGUACGUAGGCGGUGGUUCAAGUCAGAGGUGAAAGCCCGGAGCUCAACUCCGGAACUGCCUUUGAAACUAGAUCGCUAGAACAUCGGAGAGGUAAGUGGAAUUCCGAGUGUAGAGGUGAAAUUCGUAGAUAUUCGGAAGAACACCAGUGGCGAAGGCGGCUUACUGGACGAUUGUUGACGCUGAGGUACGAAAGCGUGGGGAGCAAACAGGAUUAGAUACCCUGGUAGUCCACGCCGUAAACGAUGAUAACUAGCUGUUGGGCCUCAUAGAGGCUCAGUGGCGCAGCUAACGCAUUAAGUUAUCCGCCUGGGGAGUACGGUCGCAAGAUUA